CAUAGGUUAAUGAGGCGAACCGGGGGAACUGAAACAUCUAAGUACCCCGAGGAAAAGAAAUCAACCGAGAUUCCCCCAGUAGCGGCGAGCGAACGGGGAGCAGCCCAGAGCCUGAAUCAGUAUGUGUGUUAGUGGAAGCGUCUGGAAAGGCGCGCGAUACAGGGUGACAGCCCCGUACACAAAAAUGCACAUGCUGUGAGCUCGAUGAGUAGGGCGGGACACGUGGUAUCCUGUCUGAAUAUGGGGGGACCAUCCUCCAAGGCUAAAUACUCCUGACUGACCGAUAGUGAACCAGUACCGUGAGGGAAAGGCGAAAAGAACCCCGGCGAGGGGAGUGAAAAAGAACCUGAAACCGUGUACGUACAAGCAGUGGGAGCACGCUUAGGCGUGUGACUGCGUACCUUUUGUAUAAUGGGUCAGCGACUUAUAUUCUGUAGCAAGGUUAACCGAAUAGGGGAGCCGAAGGGAAACCGAGUCUUAACUGGGCGUUAAGUUGCAGGGUAUAGACCCGAAACCCGGUGAUCUAGCCAUGGGCAGGUUGAAGGUUGGGUAACACUAACUGGAGGACCGAACCGACUAAUGUUGAAAAAUUAGCGGAUGACUUGUGGCUGGGGGUGAAAGGCCAAUCAAACCGGGAGAUAGCUGGUUCUCCCCGAAAGCUAUUUAGGUAGCGCCUCGUGAAUUCAUCUCCGGGGGUAGAGCACUGUUUCGGCAAGGGGGUCAUCCCGACUUACCAACCCGAUGCAAACUGCGAAUACCGGAGAAUGUUAUCACGGGAGACACACGGCGGGUGCUAACGUCCGUCGUGAAGAGGGAAACAACCCAGACCGCCAGCUAAGGUCCCAAAGUCAUGGUUAAGUGGGAAACGAUGUGGGAAGGCCCAGACAGCCAGGAUGUUGGCUUAGAAGCAGCCAUCAUUUAAAGAAAGCGUAAUAGCUCACUGGUCGAGUCGGCCUGCGCGGAAGAUGUAACGGGGCUAAACCAUGCACCGAAGCUGCGGCAGCGACGCUGAUGCGUUGUUGGGUAGGGGAGCGUUCUGUAAGCCUGCGAAGGUGUGCUGUGAGGCAUGCUGGAGGUAUCAGAAGUGCGAAUGCUGACAUAAGUAACGAUAAAGCGGGUGAAAAGCCCGCUCGCCGGAAGACCAAGGGUUCCUGUCCAACGUUAAUCGGGGCAGGGUGAGUCGACCCCUAAGGCGAGGCCGA
Molecule: ribosomal RNA, 1202 nt
Filed under: Escherichia coli
Lineage: Bacteria; Pseudomonadati; Pseudomonadota; Gammaproteobacteria; Enterobacterales; Enterobacteriaceae
Description: partial 23S ribosomal RNA
Rfam family: Bacterial large subunit ribosomal RNA
Source: RNAcentral